Molecule: long non-coding RNA, 723 nt
Organism: Magallana angulata
Lineage: Eukaryota; Metazoa; Mollusca; Bivalvia; Ostreida; Ostreidae
Exons: 4
Source: RefSeq, a predicted model, not a curated record
AGAUACUGUCUGGAAGAAACAUGACGGCUCUGUAGCUUGACCCUGAUAAGCCCAUGGAACUCACUGUGAACCAAGAUAUCCACAUCCCCCUCCAAAUACUCCUGAAUAUAACUUGGACACAACUUAAGUUGAUAAACUCCACAGAGGCUUGCAGUAUCGAUUGGAGAGGGCACACACGAUGCGCACGUAGUCACCAAUAAACGGCACUUGAUUGGUUGGAAGAACAUGAGCAAGGUACUUCCAUCGCUUUAUCCUUGCAUUGGCUGCCUCAACGACCCAACGAAUCUGUAAAGUUAAGAACAAGCACCACUAAUAAAAAAAGGUCUGGUAAUCAAAAUAUAGAAACAACUGACCUUGGUGACUAGACGAGAGGCAUUAGCAUCUAAGGUUGUCAUCUGCUUCUGCCCUUUGCUCAUCAGACGAGGCAUUUCGGCCCUUAUUCCCAGCUCCUCAAGCAUUUCGACUGAAUCUCUGAAGCCUCUGUCUACAAUGAAAACAUCAUCUUCAUGGAACCAGCCCUUCAGAUCUUCUGCGUUGGUAUGAAGCAUAUGGUUGAGGAUAGUGGCAUCAUUAUUCCUAGCAAGUCCAAGAUGAUGUGGUACAAAUGACUUCAUGAGUGCUGUACGGACUGAUUUUACUGCUCUACAGAGGGAAGACUUUGAAAUUCCAAAAAUCGUGGCCAGAAGUUGAUUUGACAUUCCUGAUCUCAGUUUCAGAAGAAAG